GCGGAUGUGGCGGAACUGGUAGACGCGCACGUUUGAGGGGCGUGUGGCUUGUCCGUGCGAGUUCGAGUCUCGCCAUCCGCA
This 81-nucleotide transfer RNA is filed under the name Geminocystis sp. RNAcentral describes it as "tRNA-Leu". It matches the Rfam family "tRNA". From Rfam's summary of the family: Transfer RNA (tRNA) molecules are approximately 80 nucleotides in length. Their secondary structure includes four short double-helical elements and three loops (D, anti-codon, and T loops). Lineage: Bacteria; Bacillati; Cyanobacteriota; Cyanophyceae; Chroococcales; Geminocystaceae. RNAcentral also lists the same sequence under 1 other name. The record is from RNAcentral.